Molecule: non-coding RNA, 313 nt
Organism: Paramuricea clavata
Lineage: Eukaryota; Metazoa; Cnidaria; Anthozoa; Malacalcyonacea; Plexauridae
Source: the annotation of a GenBank genome assembly
CAAAAAUCGAGAUAUAUGUCAAGAAUAGGGGGCUGCUCGCAGCAAUAACUAAAUGUGCUAAAUUGCUAUUGAAAUUACAAUAUAAUACUUAAUAUAUACUCAAUAUAUUAUAUAUUGAGUAUUAUAUUGUAAUUUCAAAUCAUAAUAUCUCGUAAAUUAAUGUACACAAUAGAUUCUGAACUCAAAAAUCUACUGAACACCACGCACGUGAAGCUGGAUUCCCCCAACAAGGCUAAUACGUCGAUACAAGAAAUUAAACGUUUAAAUGAAGAGCUUAUUGAACUAGAUGCUUUAUAUAAUAUUAAAAGAGCGG